AUAUUUUGAACCGCAUGGUUCAAAAGUGAAAGACGGUCUUGCUGUCACUUAUAGAUGGAUCCGCGCUGCAUUAGCUAGUUGGUAAGGUAACGGCUUACCAAGGCAACGAUGCAUAGCCGACCUGAGAGGGUGAUCGGCCACACUGGAACUGAGACACGGUCCAGACUCCUACGGGAGGCAGCAGUAGGGAAUCUUCCGCAAUGGGCGAAAGCCUGACGGAGCAACGCCGCGUGAGUGAUGAAGGUCUUCGGAUCGUAAAACUCUGUUAUUAGGGAAGAACAUAUGUGUAAGUAACUGUGCACAUCUUGACGGUACCUAAUCAGAAAGCCACGGCUAACUACGUGCCAGCAGCCGCGGUAAUACGUAGGUGGCAAGCGUUAUCCGGAAUUAUUGGGCGUAAAGCGCGCGUAGGCGGUUUUUUAAGUCUGAUGUGAAAGCCCACGGCUCAACCGUGGAGGGUCAUUGGAAACUGGAAAACUUGAGUGCAGAAGAGGAAAGUGGAAUUCCAUGUGUAGCGGUGAAAUGCGCAGAGAUAUGGAGGAACACCAGUGGCGAAGGCGACUUUCUGGUCUGUAACUGACGCUGAUGUGCGAAAGCGUGGGGAUCAAACAGGAUUAGAUACCCUGGUAGUCCACGCCGUAAACGAUGAGUGCUAAGUGUUAGGGGGUUUCCGCCCCUUAGUGCUGCAGCUAACGCAUUAAGCACUCCGCCUGGGGAGUACGACCGCAAGGUU
RNAcentral lists this ribosomal RNA (733 nucleotides) under Staphylococcus aureus. RNAcentral's name for it is "bacterial SSU rRNA". It matches the Rfam family "Bacterial small subunit ribosomal RNA", at positions 173 to 895 of the family's 1533-position model. The record is from RNAcentral. Lineage: Bacteria; Bacillati; Bacillota; Bacilli; Caryophanales; Staphylococcaceae.